AGGUGGGGCUGAUGACUGGGGUGAAGUCGUAACAAGGUAUCCGUACCGGAAGGUGCGGAUGGAUCACCUCCUAACAGGGAGACAACACAAUGAUUUUGAUGCCUGAGUGCUUUUAUUCUUAGGUCAAAAUCCUGUCACCUUAGGUCGAUCGGUACCUCAGCUUUGAAGUCAAGGAUCAGCAGCAAUGUUGAUUGCUUGAUGGAGAUUUUCAGUUCCUAAACUUUGUCUAGGUCACACCCCAAAAGGGAUGAGACUCCUGGGCCAUUAGCUCAGGUGGUUAGAGCGCACCCCUGAUAAGGGUGAGGUCCCUGGUUCAAGUCCAGGAUGGCCCAUUCGGUGUUGGGGGUUUAGCUCAGUUGGUAGAGCGCCUGCUUUGCAAGCAGGAUGUCAGGAGUUCGAGUCUCCUAACCUCCACUGACCGAACUUGAUUCCCAUCUCCAACUCUUUUGGAGUUGAGCUCGAUUGGAGUGUGAUUUAGAUGUGUCCGCUGGAUGACCCCAGCUUCCUGUCAUUCCAAGUUUUAGGUUAAAGCCUUGAAUUUGGUUGUUGAUAAGAUGCUGGGCUCGGAUCAAAUGAUCAAGCAAUUGAUGAUUUGAUUUGAAGUUCUAGCAGAACCUUGACAACUGCAUAGGUGAGUCUGGAAAAAACAAAGCAUCUUACAGAUGCAUUGUUUUGAAUCUGAUCUUCUUAAAGGGAGAUUAGAUCUAGAACAAUGAAAAUUCUUUUGAGCAAGAGCCGAGACUCUUGAAUGUUCUUUGAUUCGUGUCGAGCGAAUCAGAGUUUGAUCUUGUUUUUAGCAAUAAAAACUUGAGAAUCUGCUUUCAACGGCGGUAAGCUUUCAGGAGGUUAAUUGGUCAAGCUACAAAGGGCUCACGGCGG
Molecule: unclassified non-coding RNA, 879 nt
Filed under: uncultured Synechococcus sp.
Lineage: Bacteria; Bacillati; Cyanobacteriota; Cyanophyceae; Synechococcales; Synechococcaceae
Description: partial may contain 16S ribosomal RNA, 16S-23S ribosomal RNA intergenic spacer, and 23S ribosomal RNA
Rfam family: tRNA (bases 342-414)
Source: RNAcentral